Molecule: ribosomal RNA, 502 nt
Filed under: uncultured bacterium
Lineage: Bacteria
Description: partial 16S ribosomal RNA
Rfam family: Bacterial small subunit ribosomal RNA
Source: RNAcentral
AUUGAACGCUGGCGGAAUGCUUUACACAUGCAAGUCGAACGGCAGCAUAGGUGCUUGCACCUGAUGGCGAGUGGCGAACGGGUGAGUAAUACAUCGGGACGUGCCCAGUCGUGGGGGAUAACGUAGCGAAAGUUACGCUAAUACCGCAUACGAUCUAAGGAUGAAAGCGGGGGACCGUAAGGCCUCGCGCGAUUGGAGCGGCCGAUGGCAGAUUAGGUAGUUGGUGAGGUAAAGGCUCACCAAGCCGACGAUCUGUGGCUGGUCUGAGAGGACGACCAGCCACACUGGGACUGAGACACGGCCCAGACUCCUACGGGAGGCAGCAGUGGGGAAUUUUGGACAAUGGACGCAAGUCUGAUCCAGCCAUUCCGCGUGCAGGACGAAGGCCUUCGGGUUGUAAACUGCUUUUGUACGGAACGAAAAAGCUCUUACUAAUACUAGGAGUCCAUGACGGUACCGUAAGAAUAAGCACCGGCUAACUACGUGCCAGCAGCCGCCGUAA